CAGAUAGGACUCCCAUAAAUAUUUUAUUUGCAUCAAAGUGACAAUCCUGUCUGAAUGUGUAUAUAUUGAAAAACCAAGGAAGUUCAGAGACCUUAUUUCAUUCUCUUUGAUAAGAGAUUUGCUCAGAGCACCAGUGAAUUAAACCUCCAUAGAUGCUGCGUAGCGUGCCAAUCUACCUAGUUUCGCCUAUAUUCCUUCUCUUUCUCAAACAGGUGGAGCACUUCCCCUCUCCUUCUCCUUUUGUUUCGAGCACGCCAAGGGCGUGGUGGUGCUGAUCUCUGGCGAUGGUGGUGAUGGAUCUCCGGCGGUCGCAUAGCUAAUCUCUGACGGCAGCGGCGUUGCUAAUCUCUGGCUGAGGCUGUCAUUUUGUUGAGUGCAGGCAAGUGGAGGCGGUGGCGGUGCGGAUCUCUGACUGAGGCUGCCAUUUUGUUGAUUGGAGGCGAGUGGAGGCGACGGCGAUGGUGCGGAUCUUAGCAGGCGCUUCAACCUUGGCUUCAGCUAAUCCUCAAUCUUAGCUCGGGUGUGGUGUCGAUGGUGCCUUCACUGUGGUUGGUGCCUUCAGGGCAGGCAAUCUGGGGGUAACGCACGCUAGUGUAGCCGCCUCGGGUCAUUUCUUUCUUGGGGAUCUUCUCUUUGUCUCCAGUGAGCAAUCAAAUCGAAGUCGUUCGUUCUCUGUUCAUUUUGCUGUCGGUUUUGUAUGUUGCGUGGUGUUGCCCUACUAAUCUAAUCCAUUCAACAUUCAAUUAAGCCAUUCGUCUUUGGCUCGCAAGGCUGAUUGAUCUUGUAUGUCAAAAUUGUCCAUGUAGCUGACCUCAAUUCAAUCUGUCUUUUUCUUGCAAGGGGAACAAGGAUAUUCAAUGUGCGUUCUUGAUUUCUUGUCACAGCGAUCCACUUUGCUCAGUUAAGCACUGUGUCUGUCUCAAGAGAUGAAUGGUUCGGUGUUGGGAGAUAGUCAUAAUUUAGCAAUUGGCAUACCAAAGCCAAGUGGAUGGACGUGGCUCGCGGUUUGCCUUCAAGCCUGUGUUGUUGCUCAAGGAAGAGCUUCCGGCACAACAAUCAUUCCUUUGCUUUGCAUCAGAUGAAUAACCAUGUUGGGUCCAACAACAAGAAAAACUAGAAUGUGGUCUACCAAGAUCUGACCAAAGUUCUUGGUCUUAGUAGGUUUGACUCCAAGAUUCUUUCAGACGUCUCAACUGCUGUUUUGCCAUUGAAAUGCGCCAUGGAUCCUACAAAUUUUGUACAUCUGAGGACCGUGCCCUCUGAGAAUGGACUCAAACCAGUUGAAAAUUCAAGAGACAAUCCGGCACAUUUGGAACAGUAAGUAUACUGUGGAAAGUGGCGAGGAACUGAUGUUGCUAUCAAACGUAUUAAGAAAAAAUGUUUCGCUGGGAGAUCAUAGGAACAAGAGAAACUUGUGAGUAGUAUUUCCAUCAAUCCUUUCAGUCGUAUGAUCGCUUCGUCAUUCAUGCAAAAAUUUCAGUAACAACUGAAGGGAAAAACACAAAUAAGACCAAGGACUUUUGGAGGGAAGUACAGAUUCUUUCAAAGUUUUACAUCAUCCAAAUGUUGUUGCUUUCUAUGGUGUAGUGCCUGAUGGAACUGGAGGGACAUUGGCAACUGUGUCAGAGUUCAUGGUGAAUGGUUCUCUGAGGAAUGUUUUUUUGAGGAAGGACAGGUGAGUCAUACAACAACGCACUGGAUCAGUUUGAGGAACGUCAAGACCAGGAGUUAGAGUACACUAAGUAGCUGCAAGG
This is a long non-coding RNA of Phragmites australis (common reed), 1754 nucleotides long. RefSeq lists it as uncharacterized. The transcript is spliced from 3 exons. The record is from RefSeq and is a predicted model, not a curated record. Lineage: Eukaryota; Viridiplantae; Streptophyta; Magnoliopsida; Poales; Poaceae.